GCCUUGUGGCAAAAUCUGGAAGGUCCAUUGCCCACCCUCCAGAGUGAAGGCAAAUUGGUCCUCACUGCCAGCGUCAGGGUGAAACUUUAUAGUCAUUUGCCACAAUCCAUCUGACUUCUGCGUGGCCAUACUGAAGGGCUCUGUGCAGGGAAUGUCACCUCUGCUUUUUCUAAUUUCAGGACAGUCUAUCCCAUUGCUUCAUGACCUCUAGGCAGUCAGUGUUCUUUCACACACACAACUUGCAUGGCCUGUGGGAGAAUCAGUAGUGUGUGGUGUGGAUGUCCUUGGACUAUGGUUUUUACCAUGCAAAUUUGCAACCAGAAUUCUCCAUGGGUGUUGUCAAGCCAAGCACCAGUCAGUAUGUCCACCCACAGCAUGUAUUCAGCAGCCAGGGAAACAUAAACAUCAUACAAGCAUAGGGGCAAAAUGCCGAAUACCAAAAGUCACCUGGGCCUCCUGGGCUGUGACAUAGUGACCUCCAUACCCUUCUGUGCAUGCAGUAGUUCCUGUAAAACAGUCUGGGUUGACAUAUACUAGCAUUGACUUGGCUCUGGUGUCCACCAACACUAGUAUAUACUGCACAUUUUGUGGGGACCAGUGGAUAAUCAAUUCUACAUAUGGCCUCCCAUCUGCCAGCACCCCUAAGACCCGGGUACCUUGGCCUGCCUCCUGAUUGUGAUAAGAAGAGGCCAGUAUCACUUCUUCCUGCUUCACCCAGACUGCUUUGGCCUUCUGGCCCUUGCCCAUCAGCUGCUAUUGCUGCUUCCAAACCAGCAGCUGGUCAACUUGCCAGACAAGCCUUCUUGUUUCACGGUGAAGAGGAGAAAUUUGUCUAAAGCUUCUAAAGUUUGCAAGACAAGCCUGGGCUUCAAACAGAUUGAUUCCCAAUCCUCUUGGGCCUUCCCAGCUGCCAAGAAGAUGGCUAUAGGUAGGCCUGGUGAGGCUGGGGGUUGUUUAUCAACCAUUUCCCGCUCUCCCUCACCUUCGAGCACUGUUUCCACAGCUGCCACAAGACCACCCACCUCAGUGUCCUGCCUACUAUACCAGUCGUCAGCCCACUCGGGGCUCAAGGGAGAUUUUUGCAGGUAAGGUCGCCAGGUUAAGGAACACGUGUGCAAGACAUCAGCAAUAGCAGGCAGCAUAGAGCAGAGCAGAGUGCAAAAGCCACCUGCAUCUUUGUUGUAUAAUUCUUGUACAGGUUGUUAUCUCAUGUUUACAUUCUUACAUAGUGCUGUAACCAGCGUAUGCGUGUUUACGUGUGCUAAGUCAUGGUUACAGAACGGUAUCCCCUGUGCACCUGUGCUAGACAAGCAAAGCCGCAUCUUCAGGUGUCCUUAGACACCCCUGAGCUUUGAAGCAGUCUGAGCGAUUCCCCACACCCAGUAAGAGUGCUGAAAUUAAUUUGCAUAAUAGAUACAAACCUGGCAAUAUUGGCCAACAUCCACAGCAAUAAUCAGUUACAUUCCAGUAGUCACAAUGUACAUUUCUGUGGACAACAAUCUACUUUAUCAGUUUCCUUCGGUUUAUGUAAAACUGUAAAGUAGCUCAAAAGUGAUUAAGAUGGAAACAAUCCUGAAGAGUGGGCUGGAUACAGCACCUCUGAAGAGCAGGGAUGGACUUAUUUCAGAGUCCUUCACAGUGUUUACUGAUACCCUAUUGUCAGAUACGGGUUAUAUCCAGUUCUUUGCUUUUAUUAAAAUGAAUUUUAAAACCAGUACAUCUUUGAACAUGUAAUCUUUUUCCCUUCUAAAUGCCUUCUUCUAGGGUAAAAUACUAGAAGGGGAACUGUAGGGUAAGAAAAGAUUUAAUGUCUUGACUUACAUUCGCAAGUUGUUAGACCAGAGUUGUUUUUUACAUCCACCCUAAAAAAACAACACCCAAGUCCCAACACAGAAAAUGAGCCAUCAUUAACCAAGAAUCUUCGAUUUUUCCAAAAGCCCUAUGCUGUGAGUUGAAGGUUCCCACUAAGGUUUAUAUGUUGGAAACUUGAUCGCUGGUGUGGCAGUUUUGAGAGGUAGGGUCUAAUGGGAGGUAUCUGAGUCAUUAGGGCUUUGCUCUCAAGAACAGAUUAAUAACAUCAUAGGAGUGGGUUUGUUAUUGUUAGAUUGUGUUCACUGUAAAAGGAUGAGUUCUGUUCUCUUGCCCUCCUCUCUGUCUUUGUCCUUUCGUCUUCCUUUAGGGUGUCACCACAGAAAGGCUCUUGCUAGAUGCCAGCACCUUAAUGUUGGACUACCCUGCCACUAGAAGUGUGAGAAAUAAAAGCUGUGCUCAUUGUAAGUUACCCAGUCUGUGGUAUUCUGUCAAAGCCACAUGAGCAGGACGAAGAUACCACCCUGAUCUGCCAUCUCCCAUUUCACUGGAUAGAAUUAAAUCUGUAGAGAAUUGCAUGGUCUGGGCCAGUCAAGACCCUUUCCCAGGUCUGGGAUAGGACCCUGAGACUCAGGGAGCCCAGAGCCCGUGAACAUAACCAUGCAGCUCUGUGAAGUGAGACCUAGCUGGAAGUGGUUUAUGUUGCUUAAUGACUAUAUUUUCAUUUCUUGUUUUAGUUAUGAGAAACAUGAUAGUUAUAUUCACAGACUAGGACUCAGGAAAACUUGCUUCUAAUUCUCGUCCCUUCUGCUAAGGCUUAGACAACAAACUAUGCUGUGCC
This is a long non-coding RNA of Chinchilla lanigera (long-tailed chinchilla), 2650 nucleotides long. Lineage: Eukaryota; Metazoa; Chordata; Mammalia; Rodentia; Chinchillidae. The record is from Ensembl.